RNAcentral lists this ribosomal RNA (743 nucleotides) under uncultured bacterium. RNAcentral describes it as "bacterial SSU rRNA". It matches the Rfam family "Bacterial small subunit ribosomal RNA", at positions 1 to 751 of the family's 1533-position model. The record is from RNAcentral.
CGCGAUUCGCCUUGAGUUUGAUAUGGCUCAGGAUGAACGCUGGCGGCGUGCUUAACACAUGCAAGUCGAACGGUGAAGCUGGAGCUUGCUCCAGUGGAUCAGUGGCGAACGGGUGAGUAACACGUGAGUAACCUGCCCUUGACUCUGGGAUAAGCGUUGGAAACGACGUCUAAUACCGGAUACGAGCUUCAGUCGCAUGGCUAGGAGCUGGAAAGAAUUUCGGUCAAGGAUGGACUCGCGGCCUAUCAGCUAGUUGGUGAGGUAACGGCCCACCAAGGCGACGACGGGUAGCCGGCCUGAGAGGGUGACCGGCCACACUGGGACUGAGACACGGCCCAGACUCCUACGGGAGGCAGCAGUGGGGAAUAUUGCACAAUGGGCGCAAGCCUGAUGCAGCAACGCCGCGUGAGGGACGACGGCCUUCGGGUUGUAAACCUCUUUUAGUAGGGAAGAAGCGAAAGUGACGGUACCUGCAGAAAAAGCGCCGGCUAACUACGUGCCAGCAGCCGCGGUAAUACGUAGGGCGCGAGCGUUAUCCGGAAUUAUUGGGCGUAAAGAGCUCGUAGGCGGUUUGUCACGUCUGCUGUGAAAACUGGAGGCUCAACCUCCAGCCUGCAGUGGGUACGGGCAGACUAGAGUGCGGUAGGGGAGAUUGGAAUUCCUGGUGUAGCGGUGGAAUGCGCAGAUAUCAGGAGGAACACCGAUGGCGAAGGCAGAUCUCUGGGCCGUAACUGACGCUGAGG